This 761-nucleotide ribosomal RNA is filed under the name uncultured Prevotella sp. Its description in RNAcentral is "bacterial SSU rRNA". It matches the Rfam family "Bacterial small subunit ribosomal RNA", at positions 28 to 776 of the family's 1533-position model. Lineage: Bacteria; Pseudomonadati; Bacteroidota; Bacteroidia; Bacteroidales; Prevotellaceae. The record is from RNAcentral.
GAUGAACGCUAGCUAUAGGCUUAACACAUGCAAGUCGAGGGGAAACGGCAGAGAGUGCUUGCACACUUUGGACGUCGACCGGCGCACGGGUGAGUAACGCGUAUCCAACCUGCCCUUUACUUGGGGAUAACCCGUUGAAAGACGGACUAAUACCCAAUGAUAUUCAUUGAUGACAUCUGAUUUGAAUUAAAGAUUUAUCGGUAUAGGAUGGGGAUGCGUCUGAUUAGCUUGUUGGUGAGGUAACGGCUCACCAAGGCCACGAUCAGUAGGGGUUCUGAGAGGAAGGUCCCCCACAUUGGAACUGAGACACGGUCCAAACUCCUACGGGAGGCAGCAGUGAGGAAUAUUGGUCAAUGGACGAGAGUCUGAACCAGCCAAGUAGCGUGCAGGAUGACGGCCCUAUGGGUUGUAAACUGCUUUUGUUUGGGAAUAAUCGACAUUACGUGUAAUGUUUUGCAUGUACCAUUCGAAUAAGGGCCGGCUAAUUCCGUGCCAGCAGCCGCGGUAAUACGGAAGGUCCAGGCGUUAUCCGGAUUUAUUGGGUUUAAAGGGAGUGUAGGCGGUUGGUUAAGCGUGUUGUGAAAUGUAGAUGCUCAACAUCUGACUUGCAGCGCGAACUGGCUGACUUGAGUACACACAACGUAGGCGGAAUUCAUGGUGUAGCGGUGAAAUGCUUAGAUAUCAUGAAGAACUCCGAUUGCGAAGGCAGCUUACGGGAGUGUUACUGACGCUUAAGCUCGAAGGUGCGGGUAUCGAACAGG